UACGUAGGGUGCAGGCGUUAAUCGGAAUUACUGGGCGUAAAGCGUGCGCAGGCGGUUUGCUAAGACAGGUGUGAAAUCCCCGGGCUUAACCUGGGAACUGCGCUUGUUACUGGCAGGCUUGAGUGUGGCAGAGGGGGGUGGAAUUCCCGGUGUAGCGGUGAAAUGCGUAGAUAUCGGGAGGAACAUCAGUGGCGAAGGCGGCUGCCUGGCCCAAUACUGACACUCAGGUGCGACAGCGUGGGGAGCAAACAGG
Molecule: ribosomal RNA, 253 nt
Filed under: uncultured bacterium
Lineage: Bacteria
Description: partial 16S ribosomal RNA
Rfam family: Bacterial small subunit ribosomal RNA
Source: RNAcentral